ACGCCUGGAAAUGACGUUCACCAAAAAGCAUUAAACAUUUAGACAAAUCUCAAUUUCUUUGCAAACGUACGCCAGGAAAUGACGUUCACCAAAAGCAUUAAACAUUUAGACAAAUCUCAAGACGUACGCCUGGAAAUGACGUUCACCAAAAAGCAUUAAACAUUUAGACAAAUCUCAAGGUAAA
This is a long non-coding RNA of Xenia sp. Carnegie-2017, 184 nucleotides long. RefSeq lists it as uncharacterized. NCBI's taxonomy places the organism in Eukaryota, Metazoa, Cnidaria, Anthozoa, Malacalcyonacea, Xeniidae. The record is from RefSeq and is a predicted model, not a curated record. The transcript has 2 exons.